Molecule: non-coding RNA, 85 nt
Filed under: Chloroflexota bacterium
Lineage: Bacteria; Bacillati; Chloroflexota
Description: Chloroflexi bacterium c-di-GMP-II sequence
Rfam family: Cyclic di-GMP-II riboswitch aptamer
Source: RNAcentral
AAGAUUAGUGGGGGCAAUGAAGCGGCGUCCGUGAGGAGGUCACUGGGAUGCUGUGGAGCCAGUAGUGAAACCGACCACUUGGGUG